UUAUGUUUUAACGUAACUGAAAUUAGUGUGCGUUUUGCAAUCGAUGGCAUCUUGCAAUGAUAUUAGGAAGCAUUUCUUUCUUUCUUUCUUAAUAGUCCAUAAAAUAAUGAAGCCUCUUACAAGCAGUGACGUUUUAGGUUCAACAAAAUACAAGUAAGAGACCCGUGAAAGUCGUAUUGUGAUCCUGCCUGGUUUUUAGCCUAUUUGUUCAAAGUACAUGGAUCAAAUCCGGUUGCUUCCAUGUGGAGUAAGUGGAUUGAAAGUAGCAACUUGAAUUUCAACGUGUAAGAUAUUCG
This 296-nucleotide long non-coding RNA is filed under the name Equus caballus (horse). RNAcentral's name for it is "lncRNA (ENSECAG00000056240.1)". Lineage: Eukaryota; Metazoa; Chordata; Mammalia; Perissodactyla; Equidae. The record is from RNAcentral.